CUGUCAUUUUAAAUAAGAAUUUGUUCUUAAACUGACUUGCCUAGUUAAAUAAAGGUUCAAUAAAUAACAAUGGGGUUGAAAACAGGUUUGAUUGAGAGGGGCCCAACCUAACAAAAGCAAACAACACAAAGAAUACAUCU
Non-coding RNA from Salvelinus sp. IW2-2015, 140 nucleotides. The record is from RefSeq and is a predicted model, not a curated record. Lineage: Eukaryota; Metazoa; Chordata; Actinopteri; Salmoniformes; Salmonidae.